CCACAUUCUGCUCGCCACUACAGC
This 24-nucleotide unclassified non-coding RNA is filed under the name Mus musculus (house mouse). RNAcentral's name for it is "oocyte_clustered_small_RNA7183". The record is from RNAcentral. Lineage: Eukaryota; Metazoa; Chordata; Mammalia; Rodentia; Muridae.